This 10571-nucleotide long non-coding RNA is filed under the name Medicago truncatula (barrel medic). RNAcentral's name for it is "long non-coding RNA (MTRU_LNC002044)". The record is from RNAcentral. Lineage: Eukaryota; Viridiplantae; Streptophyta; Magnoliopsida; Fabales; Fabaceae.
AACAUAGAAUUGAUCCUUGAUGUGGCCAAGGAAACCCUAUCUUCUCUUACAGAUGGCAAUGAAGCUACAAAUUGGGUCCAAAAAUAUGUGACACCAUAUGCUCAAGAUGUAAAAAUCAAGUACAUCACUGUUGGAAAUGAAAUUAAACCUAAUGACAAUGAAGCCCAAUACAUUGCCACUGCCAUGCAAAACAUUCAAAAUGCAAUUUCAUCAGCAAAUUUACAAGGCCAAAUCAAGGUCUCAACAGCAAUUGACAUGACUUUGAUUGGUACUUCAUAUCCACCCAAUGAUGGUGCUUUCACUGACCAAGCAAAGCAAUAUUUACAGCCAAUAAUAGACUUCCUAAAGAACAAUGGAGCACCACUUCUUGCCAAUGUGUAUCCGUACUUCGCUUAUAUCGGUAAUAAGCAAAGCAUUUCUCUUGACUAUGCUCUUUUUAAACAACAAGGAAACAAUGAUGUUGGGUACCAAAACCUCUUUGAUGCCCAAUUAGACUCAGUAUAUGCUGCUCUUGAGAAAGUUGGGGGUACCGAUGUGAAGAUAGUUGUGUCCGAGAGUGGAUGGCCAUCUGAUGGUGGAGAUAGUGCCUCAACUGAUAAUGCUUCCACAUAUUAUCAAAAUUUGAUCAAUCACGUCAAGAAUGGGACUCCUAAGAGACCCGGAGCAAUUGAGACAUACUUGUUUGCCAUGUUUGAUGAAAAUCAGAAGACUGGUGCAGCAACUGAACAACAUUUUGGUCUCUUUAAUCCUGACAAAUCAUCUAAAUAUCAAACAAGUUUCAAUUGAAUAAAUUGAUAAUUUAAAAAAGAUAUGCAGCUAAAUAUAGUUUACUAUGAAUAAUUGUGCCAUGUGUGCACAUGUUAUUUCCAUCUUUCUUUUUUUUUUUGACAGAAUUUCCAUCUUUCUAUGUAUGUCAUGAAUUAAAUAAAUGAAACAUCAUAUCAUAUAUUGUUACUUAUGUAAUUCCACCAUUAUAUUUUAGUUUGUGUUUAAUGUCAUAUUGGAAGACAUCAAACUUAUAUAGUAUGCUAACAAUAAAGGCACAACUCUAGCAAAAUUUGCAACAUAAGUAGGCUUGAUGGACACAAAUGAAGCAGAAUAUUAACCUUUGGUGUUUGGUCUUGAGUUAUCAAUUGAUUGUGUAUAGUUAAAAUAGGGAAAAGUAAUAGUAGAACACGCUCUAAAUUAAGUGGCCCUCGCAUGGGUGAAUGGUGAUUAUUUGUCCAUGGAGUUUGAGAUUCUUUGUGAAUAAAUUGAAAACCAAAUUGUUGGUGUUGAAAAAUGUUUCUUUUGUGCAUAGGAAUAUAGAAGUGAAAUUUCAUUAUAUAUUUGGCAAAAGAAUGAUCCUCUUUGGAAUUUAGGUGAGUGAAGUGGUGUUGUAAAAUUUGUGAUAUUUGGAAGGGUUGAUUGUGUACUAAUGAUCUCAAGGUCAAGGGAUGGCUCUUUAAGUAUAGCAUUGGAAUUGAAAUUUUGGGUGUCAUGAAGGUGGGGGAGUAGUGCAUUAGUGUUUUAAAGUUGUUAGAUUUAUUUUGGCUUCGUAGUUUUGUCUUUGUAGUGCACUAGGGCCUUCGAUUUAGUUCCUUGACUGCUACAGGUGUUGUUCAUAAUCUGAUAUGCAUUGAACUAUAUUAAUGAUUUGAUUUAGUAGUGUGUCUGUUAAUUUUAUGGAAAUUGCUCUUCUCUCGAUCAAAAUUGCUUGUUCCCACAUAAACAACCGAAAAUUCCCCAACGUGAGUGAACACUUGUUCGGUAAAAUCAGCGUAAGUUAACUGACAUUCGAUAACAACCAACGUGAUUUAAAUGUCGUUGAAAAAAAAUUACCCCAUGGGACUUAAGUCAUGCUACUUAAUUCUUGUCGAUGUACGUGCAGUAAUUGUGGAUGGUACUUACCAAGUUACCAUGAUGUGGAUUCAAGUGUGUUGGCUUUCAGUUGGCAGCAAGACGAGUUUUUCAAGAAGGAAUAAGAAAAGCCGGACCGAAAAUGCUUGAACCUAUAUAAAGAGUUGGGACCAAACCAUUACUAGAAUUUCUCGUUUUACCUGCAGAUUUACCCUCAAAAAAUUCCACAGGAGUUUCUGAGGAUUUUGCUGCGAUCUUGUUGAUCUGGACAACGUACUUCCGGAUCUAGAAACGGCAUGCAACUCCGCAGGUAAUGAAUCCAUUUGCUGGGGUUUUCCUGCGGAAGCUAUUUUCUUUUUUACCCAAUGAAUCCUUGGGAAAUUCCACAGAUAUUCCAGCGGAUUUACCUGCAGAUUUUCGUUUGACCUGCAGAUUUACCUACAGAUAUUCCUGCGGAUUUACAGCUGCAUUUCUUUAGAUUCUUUUCUUCUUUAAAUUUUAAAAUUGUAAGAUUAUGAAUUUCUUUAUUUUUAUUCUUUUGAUAUUGAAUAUGGAACCUAAAUCUUUAGAAAAAUCCGCAGGAAACAGUUUUGCCUUGGAUUUUCACCAUUAUCCGCAGGAAGAUCAAGAGUUUCUGGCAGUAAACAUCAGAUUCCCCAUUUCAAUCCAAGUUGAAAAAUAAACUACACACAAGCUCAUGCAUGUGCUAAAUUACCAAUUAUGAAAACAAAAUUAAUCCGAAAGAAAAGCAUGAAAGAACUGAAACCAUAUUGAAUGGGAUGAAGAACAAGAAGCUACCUCGAAUGAAGGGGUUGGAGACCAACACAAUAAACUUAAUGAACGAAGGUUGCCAAAGUCUGGGUGCAGGGAGACUGGAUCAAAAGAAAGAAUGGUCAUGCAUGAUCGCACAAAGAGAAGAGCAGCCAUAAGAGAGGCCUAUAUCGUCAGAGAUGGUGAGACAACAUGAAAUCUAUUUGGGGGCUAAAUUUCAGUCAAUGAGUCGAAGAAACUUGGGUAUAGGGUUCACUCGCGUUGAAGAAGUAAUUUUAGGUUAUUUGUAUUAUUGUUUUUCAAAAAUUUGGAAGCUGAUUUAUAUUUUAACGUUCUUUUAUAAAGUUUGAGUAAAAAGAUGAUUUUGGUUAAAGAUUAUAAACCAGUUCUCUUAAUAAAGUUUGGUAAUUGACUUUUGAAAAUUUAUGGUUCAGUUCAUGAACCAUUUAAUUGGUUUGGUCUCUUAUAGUUCAGUGUGGUUCAUUUUACUCAUAUAGUUCAUUGAAUUAGUAUAUUUCGCUCACCCGGACUUCAAUCUAUAUUUAUACCCCUCCUUUGCUUUUGGUAUUAUCUUUUGAUAACAGUUGCGAAGUUUGGUGUGAUAUGAUCAAUCAGUUCUAUGAUCAUUGUCUUCUGAUAGUAGGGUUCUCAAUAUGCUUCUACUUUACGCCUGGAAAGUUGAAUGAUGAAGGUGUAGUUUAGAAAAGGGGGUUGGCUCAUAGUAAUGGACUAUGGUGAUGGUUUCAUAUGGUAAUAAAGAUGAUGAGUUUACACGGUUCUUAAAAAUGAACAAGAGUUAUGGUGUGCUAGUUACGUUUAUGAGCUAAAUCUUAGUUGUUUGUUGAUUGUUUGUGGUUAGAGGAGAUAGAUGUAUGAAGUGAUGGUGGAGACCCCUUUCUUUGGUUAUGUCUUCUCCUUUCUUUAGUUCUCCCCUCUUUUUAUUCCCUUCUCUUGCUUUGGUUUUGAUUUUGUUGUUGAUAUUUAUACUUAAAAAAUUAGGUUUUUGUUUUUUAUUUUGAUUUUGUUGUUGAUAUUUAUACAAAAAAUAUAAGGUUAAGUUCUUUACUGAAUGAUGCCAAAUUAAAAUUGUACAUGUUACUUACAUGGAAAUGGGAAAAAGGAAAAGAAAUGAAGAAAGAUACUUUUUUUUUUUUUGUCAGGGUUUGAACCUCCGGACCUUGCAUAUAUUAUGCAUUAUUUCUAUCAAAGCUAACCUCACGAAGACAAAUUGAAGAAAGAUGUUUGAUGGCAUACUCAACAUGCUUACAGUCCAAUUUUUGUCUUUUAAGAGGAAAAUUUUAAAGACAAGGAUAAAGAAAUUUAUCUUUUGACCAAAAUGGAAGAGAUAGUUUCACGCCACCAUCGUUGUGAAGAAAAGGAUAAAGAAAUUUAACUUUUAAAAAGGAUGUUUCAUAUUGAGUCAUGUAAUUUAAUUUUCUGAAAUCAAGCAAUUAUUUGGCGUCUUUAAUGUAAUUCACUACAAAAUCAUGUAAUUUGACAAAGCAAACCACCUUAUGAAGAAUAAUUGAGAAGACAAUGGAUAAAUAUUUAAGAGGCCUCUAGAGACAUUAAAAAGUACAUAAAUUUUGUUUCUAGUCCCAAGACAAGUUUUAAAGAAGAAAAUACUCAAAAAGGCAAAGAAAAAGGCAAAAAUGUGUUAGGAGAAGGUGUUGUGCGCCCCAUGUGUGCAAAACAGUGCAUAAAAUGCACUCUUUCGGGCACCACGCACGAGGAGCAUUCUUCCACGCAUGGUCCCUUGCGCUCUCGGGAGUUUUCAGUUACGGGUAUGGGGAAAUGGGGUAGAUUUUCAACCCAAACUCACUCAGAAUUCAACAUGUAAAUACAGCUCCUCUCAUUCACAAUUAUUCAUUCAAAACGAAGCGGUUCAAGAGGAAGGUAAGUAUUAGGAGCAUCAAGGGAGAAGUUUCUCAUCAACCUUCUUCUCUCUAUAGUAUGUUAUGUUUCUUUUGUAAUUUAUAUUUAGUUACCAUGAGUAACUAAGUCCUAAUUGUGUAGGAUUCUAAUAUGAACCUUUGUUUGUUUAUUGGAUCUUUUUAAUUCAAGUAUUUUAUUCAGUUAACUUAGAUAUAAUCUUUUUAUGGAAAUGUCAUAAUGCUUUUCUGAAGAUAAUUUUACUUACUACUUCGUUACUUGAAAAUGAAAUAAUGCACUUGUCAAAUUUGAUCAUCAAUAUUGAGCCACUUAAUAUAUUAUAUUAAAAAUAAAUGAAUUUUAUUAAAAUCCUAUGACAUGGAAUUACUAGUGGAAUCUUUUCUGUAAGCAAAUUUUUUAACUUUUUUAACGAGUAAAUAGUCAAUUUCCCCUCUGAAAUUGUAAGUUUCAUCAAUUACCUUCCUGAAAUUAACAAAAUUUAAAUUACCUCCCUGAAAUUUCACGUUAGUCAAUUUACCCCCUCCGUCAAAUUUUUCUGUUAGUGAACAUGACGUUUUGCAAAUACCCCCCUGAAGUUUUGCACUUAUGUGCAAAAUGCCCCAAAACUUAAAAAUUUAUAUUAUUUUUUAAAAAAACAAACAAUUAAUAGUUAAAUAUUAAAACUAACUAUUAAUUUUGGAAUUUGGGAAAACUACAUGCAUAUAUACAUCAAAAUAGGCUCCAAAAUGAGAAAAAAAUAUGUAUUUUUUAAAGUGACAAUAAUGGGAUGAUUUGUAGAUUAAUAUUGGGGGUUGUGUAGUUUAAAUGGUUUGAGAAAAUUGUUGAAGGAGUUGGAGGAGUUAAAAGACUAAGAUGAUGAAGGAGAAAAUAUAAAUUUAAAUCUGAUUAUUAAUUUGUUUAUAAACCUCUAAAAAUAAUAAUUUGUCUAUUAGAAAUAACCAUUAUUGUCACUUUAAAAAUACACAUUUUUCCCUAUUUUGAUGUAUAUAUGUAUGUAGUUUUUCCAAACUCCAAAAUUAAUAGUUAGCUUUAAUAUUUAACUAUUAAUUGUUUGUUUUUAAGAAAAAAAUAAUAUAAAUUUUUAAGUUUGGGGGGCAUUUUGCACAUAAGUGCAAAACUUCAGGGGGUAUUUGCAAAACGUCAUGUUCACUAACAGAAAAAUUUGACGGAGGGGGUAAAUUGACUAACGUUGUGAAAUUUCAGGGGGUAACUGAAGUUUUGUUAAUUUCAGGGGGGUAAUUGAUGAAACUUACAAUUUCAAGGGGGAAAUUGACUAUUUACUCUUUUUUUAACAUUAAAAAGUUAAAAAAAUGUAUGAUGUGGAGACACCCUAUAUUUUAGGGUUAAUUAAGUUUUUGGUCCCUAUAAAUAUCUGCAGUUUUGUAUUUAGUCUUUAUAAAAAUAAAUCAUACUUUUUAGUCCCAACAAAAUUUUCUGUUAGUGUUUUUAGUCCCUGUUAAAUUAAAAUUUGUUUAAUUAUGCUUAAACUUCUAAAUUUUUGAAAGAUUUUUUACAUACAUGUUCAUAACAUCGUAAGACACUCUUUUAUAAAAAAAUUUAGUUUUUUAACAUGUAAUGAAUUAAAUAUGAAUUUUUCUAAAAGUCCAAUUUUCAAGAUUAUAUUAAUGAAAAUUUGGACCUAAUAAUAAAAUUUUAAGUUACUUUUCUGCGGGGGAAUUUUGUAUAAUAUUCUAAGUAAGUAUGUGAAAAAUUUGUUACAAAUUAAAAAGUUUAAGCACAAUUAAGCAUAUUUUAAUUUUACAACGACUAAAAGUAUGUGUUGGUCCCUAUUAAAUUGAAAUUUGUUUAAUUAUACUUAAACUUUUAUAUUUUUAAAUGAUUUUUAACAGAUAAGAACAUUAUAAUAAUUUCUUUUAUAAAAAACUAGAAUUUUUUAACAUGUAAUGAAUUAAAUAUAAUUUUUUUUAAACACCAAAAAUUCAAGAUAAAACUAACGAAAAUUUGGACCUAAAAAUAAAAUUUUGAGCUAAUUUAUUGUGGCGGAACCUUUUAUAAUGUUUUAAACAAGUAUGUAAAAAAUCAUUAAAAAAUUAAAAUUUUAAGCAUAAUUAAACAAUUUUUAAUUUAACAGAGACUAAAAACACUAACGGAAAAUUUUAUAAAGACUAAAAAGUAUAAUUUAUUUUAUAGGGAUUAAAAAUAAAACUGCAGAUAUUUAUAAGGAUAAAAAACUUAAUUAACCCUAUAUUUUAUAACAUUUCCUUAGCUAAGCUGACUAACAUAUGCAGCCGGCAAAUUUGUCUUGUAUGCAUUAUUAAUUAGGCCAUCAAUCAUUAAUAUAUGUGUUUUCGUUUUACCCAAAACAAGUGGUUGGAAUUCGAAAACAAUGCAUAGCCCUCAAUUUCCUUUGAGUGAUUGACGGGGCUAAAAGUCUUCCUUAUUAGAAGACCACCCUUUACUGUAGUCAAUACAAAGCAGUAGUAUUUGUUCUUUUAAUUAUGCAUAGUAUAACUAUGGACUAGAAGAAGGUAUAAGAGAUUCAGAGUUGCAUACUUGGUUUAUAUUUUAGUAUAAUUCAUCAAGCAAUACAUUCUUUAAGAGAAACUCUUCCAUCGAUCAUGUCUAUCAUUUUUCUGCUUGUUGGUAUACUUCUAUCCAUUGGACUACAAUUUACAGGUCAAUAAUAGUUCUCUCCCAAUAUUAAUAUUAUUGUAUACUUUUUGUAUUGCAUUUUAUUACUUUGAAUUACUUCUUUUGUUAUUCAUUAUUCAGUAAUAUGUUAAAUUAAAAGGCUACUAGAGUCUAUGGCAUCAAUGUCAACAGAGAGAGUUUAACUAAGGAUAAAAAUACCAGAAAAAACCCAAAAUCAUCACAAAUUCAAAAACCUCAAAUCCCAAAACCAAAACCAAAGAAAAUAGAAAUUGUUUUUGAAACCCACAAUGAUUUUAGUGUUCUUUUUUAUUGGGCUUGGAUGAAGAUCUGGAUUGGUUAGGAUAGAACCAAGGUUAGAUUGAAAUAAAUAAAUAAAUAAAUAGGUUUAAUUGCAGUUUUGGCCCUCUAAGUAUCACAAUCUUCUAAUUUUGAUCCCCUAUAAAAAAUAUUAACAAAUCAGCCCUCUUAAGUUUACAUCAUUUUGCACUUUUGAUUCUCCGAACCAAUUUUGACCAAGUUAAUGCAUAUGUGGCACCCACAUCAACAAUUUAGGUUCUUUUAAUAGUUUUACUAUAGUUUGUCUAGAUCUUCUCUUGUCCUUAUUAUUUUAAGGGUUAAUAGGUCUUUACCCCCUGUAAUAUAGGACACUUUUGGUUUUACCCGCUGUAAAUUUAUUUUUUUAGAUUCCGUCCUUGUAAAAUGAAGAUUCUUCAAGAUUGCCCCCUGAGCCCUGUGACUCAGCAGAAUCUAUGAUGUGGCAUCUUUUUUUAUUUAUCAUUUUUUUUUGGAUGCCAAGUGUAUUUACAUGUCAUUUAAAAUUAAAAAAAAAAUAAAAAAAUCAAUUUUUUUUAAAUAACGAAAAAUAAUUUAAAAAUCAGAAAAAAAAAAUAGAAUUUUUUUUCAAAAAUUUAAAAAAUUGAAUUUUUUUUUUAAAUAAAGUUCCAGAUUUUUUUUUAAAAUACUUCCUAAUUCCAUAUUCUUUUUAAAAAAUUUAAAAAUUCAGAUUUUAAAAAAAAAAUUAAGUUCCGGAUUUUUGUUAAAAUCAGAAAAAACAUGCAGAUUUUUUUAAUUUAAUUUUUAAAAUAAAAAAAAAUAUUUUAUAUUUCAAAAUCUUUAUUCCAGAAAUUUUAUAAAUUCUUUUUUGAAAUUAAAUAAUUAGAAAAAAAAUUAGAUAAUACUUUUUUUUUUCCAAAUUUUAUAAUUUUAAUUUAAUUCGGAUUAUUUUUUAAAUUUAGUAUAAUUUUUUUGGAAAAUUUGGAAAUAUAUUAAGUUCGAGAAUGGAAACGGUAUACCAUAUGGAUUUUCCUGUCAUUGAUGAGAAAUAUAUUAAGUUAGCAUUUAGAAAAAAUUUCAAAAAAUAUAUUCCUGAAUUUUUACGAAUUUAUUUUUUAUUUAAAAAAAUAAAAAUAAAAUCUUUUUUUUCUGAAAUUAGGAAGUAUUUUAAAAAAAAAAAACUGGAUUUUAUAAAAAAUUUCAAAAACAAAUCAGAAUUUUUUCUAAAUUUAAAAUUUUCAAAAAUAUCUGAAGUUAAGAUUUUAAAAAUUUAAAUAAAAUCAAAUUUUUUUUUCAGAUUAAAUAGUUGGAAUUUAAAAACAUUUAUAUCCAAAUUUUUAAAAUUAAAAUAUUUUCCAGAAUUUUUAUUCUUUGUACAAAAAAUUAAAAAAACUUUUUUAUUUCGAAAAAAAUCUGAAUGUUUUUUAAUUUCGAAAAAGAUAAGACAAUUUUCUAUUUCGGAAAAAAAUCUAAAUGUUUUUUAAUUUUUGGAAAAAAAAAUCUAAUUUUUUCUCAAUUUAAAAAAAUAGUUUGAAUUUUUUCAGAUUUUUUAAAAUUUUGGAAAUUAAUUUUUAGAUUUUUUAAAAUAUGAUUUUCGUUUUUUUUGAAAUUUUAUUUUUUACUUUAAUUUUUUUAAAUAAAAAUGACGUGUAAAUUAUUUUUUACACGUGGCAAGCAAAAAAAAUUAAAAAAUAAAAAGAAAAAGCCAUGUAGGUGCCACAUCAUAGAUUCUGCUGAGUCACAGGGCUCAGGGGGCAAUCUUGAAGAAUCUUUAUUUUACAAGGACGAAAUCUAAAAAAAAAAAUUUACAGGGGGCAAAACCAAAAGUUCCCUAUAUUACAGGGGGGUAAAGACCUAUUAACCCUUGUUUUAACUAUCAUUUAUCUGAUCUAUUUUUCUUUCUAUAGAAUCUACAAAUCUCCAUUUUACUUGCUCAGACCACAUAAGUCAAGUUUCUGUCACCUUUUCUACGAUAGGUACAACUUCUACUCUUUCUUUAAUAUUAUCAUUUCUAAUUCUAUAAUUACGGGUCUUACCAUACAUUCAAUGUCUUCUCCCACGAGAAUGUGAUGAGUAACUUAAAUAAAUUAAGGUUGAAACGAUUAUUGCUCGAUUUUUUUCUAGUUGCACCCCAAAGUGACUAAAACAUCCUUAAUUCAUUUUUUGAAAUUUUCAAUCAUUUCCAUUUAUCUUACACGUUUUACGAUUAAAAUGUUGCAUUACAUCAAAAUAAGAGUACAUAUCAUGUACAAAUUGCUAAUUUUAGCAUUAGCAUGUUGCAUUAUAUCAAAAUAAGAAAUAUAUCAUGCAUAAGUAAGAAACAUAUCAUGCUGAGUAUUGGGUUAUAUUGAGAUUGAGUUUCUUAUGUUGCAGUUCGGUUUGGUUCGGUUGUUCAAAUAAAAACAGCAAACCGAACCGCUCGGUUGAAUCCCCAUGAGGUUAUCUCAAUUAGCAUGGGCAUUUGCAUUAUGUAUGCAGAGGUCGGAGGUUCGAAUCUCAGACACCCGAUUUAUUCACCUGAAGUAGUGUGAAUUUUUAGCCGUUAGACUACUUGAAAAAAAAAAAAACGUUUUUUUAGAGGAUUUAAGUUUCUGAAUGUGUAGCCUAAUGGUAUAAUGGGUUAUGACACUGAAAUAGUAUGAAGAAUGAGGUUGGCGUUUAAUUUGCCCCGUAACAGACUAAAAUUUGUAUUUUUUUUGUUAAAAGAAAUUGGAAUGAUUUACAAUUAGUUCAUUAUUACACAAUACACAGGCGUUUGCUAUGGAGUGCUUGGCAAUAAUCUACCAUCAAAGCAAGAAGUUGUAGAUUUAUAUAAAUCAAAAGGCAUUGGCAAAAUGCGUAUAUACUACCCAGAUCAAGAAGUCCUACAAGCCCUUAGAGGUUCUAACAUUGAAUUGAUCCUUGGUGUGACCAAGGAAACCCUUUCCUCUCUUACAGAUGCCGGUGAAGCUACAAAUUGGGUCCAAAAGUAUGUGACACCCUAUGCUCAAGAUGUAAAAAUCAAGUACAUCACUGUUGGAAAUGAAAUUAAACCUAAUGACAAUGAAGCCCAAUACAUUGCCACUGCCAUGCAGAACAUUCAAAAUGCAAUUUCAUCUGCAAAUUUACAAGGCCAAAUCAAGGUCUCAACAGCAAUUGACAUGACUUUGAUUGGUAAUUCAUAUCCACCCAAUGCUGGAGUU